AGAGUUUGAUCAUGGCUCAGGAUAAACGCUGGCGGCGCACAUAAGACAUGCAAGUUUUAACGGAAGUCGUUAUAAAAUGGAAAGAAGAAUUAUCGGAUUGAAAUUUUGUAACAAUGGCUUUAGUGGCGGACUGGUGAGUAACACGUAAGCAACCUGCCUAAUAGAGGGGGACAACAGUUAGAAAUGACUGCUAAUACCGCAUAUGCCAUAGAUACCACAUGGUAUCAGUGGGAAAGGAGAAAUCCGCUAAUAGAUGGGCUUACGGCUGAUUAGCUAGUUGGUGGGGUAAAGGCCUACCAAGGCGACGAUCAGUAGCCGGACUGAGAGGUUGAACGGCCACAUUGGGACUGAGAUACGGCCCAGACUCCUACGGGAGGCAGCAGUCGGGAAUUUUGCGCAAUGGAGGGAACUCUGACGCAGUGACGCCGCGUGCAGGAAGAAGGUUUUCGGAUUGUAAACUGCUUUAGACAGGGAAGAAAAAAGACAGUACCUGUAGAAUAAGCUCCGGCUAACUACGUGCCAGCAGCCGCGGUAAUACGUAGGGGAGCGAGCGUUAUCCGGAUUUAUUGGGUGUAAAGGGUGCGUAGACGGGGGAAAUAAGUUAGUUGUGAAAUUCCCUCUGCUUAACGGAGGAACUGCAACUAAAACUGUUUUUUUGAGUACUGGAGAGGAAAGUGGAAUUCCUAGUGUAGCGGUGAAAUGCGUAGAUAUUAGGAGGAAUACCAGUGGCGAAGGCGACUUUCUGGACAGUAACUGACGUUGAGGCACGAAAGUGUGGGGAGCAAACAGGAUUAGUAUCC
RNAcentral lists this ribosomal RNA (800 nucleotides) under uncultured bacterium. RNAcentral describes it as "bacterial SSU rRNA". It matches the Rfam family "Bacterial small subunit ribosomal RNA", at positions 8 to 786 of the family's 1533-position model. The record is from RNAcentral.